GUAACAAGGUCUCCGUUGGUGAACCAGCGGAGGGAUCAUUACCGAGUUUACAACUCCCAAACCCCUGUGAACAUACCUUAUGUUGCCUCGGCGGAUCAGCCCGCGCCCCGUAAAAAGGGACGGCCCGCCGCAGGAACCCUAAACUCUGUUUUUAGUGGAACUUCUGAGUAUAAAAAACAAAUAAAUCAAAACUUUCAACAACGGAUCUCUUGGUUCUGGCAUCGAUGAAGAACGCAGCAAAAUGCGAUAAGUAAUGUGAAUUGCAGAAUUCAGUGAAUCAUCGAAUCUUUGAACGCACAUUGCGCCCGCCAGUAUUCUGGCGGGCAUGCCUGUUCGAGCGUCAUUUCAACCCUCAAGCCCAGCUUGGUGUUGGGAGCUGCAGUCCUGCUGCACUCCCCAAAUACAUUGGCGGUCACGUCGAGCUUCCAUAGCGUAGUAAUUUACAUAUCGUUACUGGUAAUCGUCGCGGCCACGCCGUUAAACCCCAACUUCUGAAUGUUGACCUCGGAUCAGGUAGGAAUACCCG
Molecule: ribosomal RNA, 526 nt
Filed under: Fusarium culmorum
Lineage: Eukaryota; Fungi; Ascomycota; Sordariomycetes; Hypocreales; Nectriaceae
Description: eukaryotic LSU rRNA
Rfam family: 5.8S ribosomal RNA (bases 190-343)
Source: RNAcentral